ACCCGCUGAAUUUAAGCAUAUUAGUAAGCGGAGGAAAAGAAAACAACUGUGAUUCCUAUAGUAACUGCGAGUGAAGUAGGAAAAGCCCAAGUUGAAUCCUUUAUAUGUAGGUGUAAGGGAGUUGUGACGUAUGGGUGAUUGGUGGAAGCAAAGAUGGCGAACUAUACCGGAAUGUGAUGGCCAUAGAGGGUGAAAGCCCCGUAAGAUCAUCUUUGUGGAGUAGCUAAUCAUUGGAGAGUCAGGUAGUUUGGGAUUGCUACCUAAAGUGGGUGGUAGACUCCACCAAAGGCUAAAUAUCGUACGAAGCCGAUAGUAAACAAGUAGUGUGAACGAAAAUUGAAAACUACUCUGAAAAGAGUGUUAAAAGUAGGUGAAACCUCAAACAGGGAAGCGGAAGGGUUCACCGCAAUCUGUUGUCACACAGCAGAACGUUUCAGACAAUGUAUUUAGAGUAUAUUGUUUUAUUUUAAUGUGUAUGUAGCCAAAACCGAGAAGGUAUGAGGGAAUUUGACCAAGUCAAAAAAAAUUGACUGUUGAAUGACCCUGCCUGACGGAACAUAAAACGAAAAUGGGGUCCUUUCCGACCCGUCUUGAAACACGGACCAAGGAGGCUGAAGCUAAAGCAAGAUAGAGGGUUGAAAACCUUUCGAAUCUUAGUGAAAGCAAAAUGAAAGAUCCUAAUGUAAAAGUUGGGCGCAUUUCAGACCUCUCAAAUAUUUAAUUUGAGUGAGUUGCAGUUUUAGCUGCAGAACCCGAAAGAUGGUGAACUAUGCGUGCGUAGAUCGAAGCCAGUUGAAAGACUGGUGGAGGAUCAUACUGAUUUUGACGUGCAAAUCAAUCUUGAAAUGUGCGUAUAGGGGCGAAAGACUAAUCGAACCAUCUAGUAGCUGGUUCCCUCCGAAAUAUCCCUUAGGAUCGCAAUGUAAAAAUGUAGUUACGUCAGGUAGAGCUAAUGCGUAGAGGCAUUGGAGGCGUAAAGCUUUCGACCUAUUAGCAAACUACCAACUGGCGUUACAUGGUCAUGCUCGAUAAGAUGGCCAUGGGCAAGGAAUACACUACAUUGGUGGGCCACUCUGGUAAGCAGAACUGGCGAUGCGGGAUGAA
RNAcentral lists this ribosomal RNA (1104 nucleotides) under Ceratomyxa leatherjacketi. RNAcentral's name for it is "eukaryotic LSU rRNA". It matches the Rfam family "Eukaryotic large subunit ribosomal RNA", at positions 23 to 1167 of the family's 3401-position model. The record is from RNAcentral. Lineage: Eukaryota; Metazoa; Cnidaria; Myxozoa; Bivalvulida; Ceratomyxidae.